This is a non-coding RNA of Salmo salar (Atlantic salmon), 471 nucleotides long. NCBI's taxonomy places the organism in Eukaryota, Metazoa, Chordata, Actinopteri, Salmoniformes, Salmonidae. The record is from RefSeq and is a predicted model, not a curated record.
CUUGACCUCCAACAGUAUCAGCAACAGAGAGGUGUGAAGUUUCCACAACAGAGUUAGAGUCAGUUUAUCAUGUACUUCUCUUUAGACGCUGCAGCCUUGACCUCCAUCAACAGAGUUAGAGUUAGUUUAUCAUGAGAACAUACAGACACCACUGACUGGAACCAGCUGACAGUAUCAGUUGUAAAGGCUUCAUUACUACUAACAGAAGGAAAGUUGUAGUGUUAUGUCCAUGAUGAAUGAUGUAAAGGCUUCAUUACUACUAACAGAAGGAACGUUGUAGUGUUAUGUCCAUGAUGAAUGAUGUAAAGGUUUCAAUGUGUUUUAUAUUGAGCUGCUCUGUUAAAUUCUGUUUGUUCAUGUGAAAUUGGAAAUUGUAUUUUUCUAUAAUGUCAUUGUGUGUGUUUAGCUUGAGCAACACCAUUGUAUGGUUGCUAACUUGUCAAAUAAAGCUUCCUAAAAUGUGUUAGAAAA